RNAcentral lists this ribosomal RNA (497 nucleotides) under uncultured bacterium. Its description in RNAcentral is "partial 16S ribosomal RNA". It matches the Rfam family "Bacterial small subunit ribosomal RNA", at positions 28 to 507 of the family's 1533-position model. The record is from RNAcentral.
GAUGAACGCUGGCGGCGUGCCUAAUACAUGCAAGUCGAGCGAACAGACGAGGAGCUUGCUCCUCUGACGUUAGCGGCGGACGGGUGAGUAACACGUGGAUAACCUACCUAUAUGACUGGGAUAACUUCGGGAAACCGGAGCUAAUACUGGAUAAUAUAUUGAACCGCAUGGUUCAAUAGUGAAAGACGGUUUUGCUGUCACUUAUAGCUGGAUCCGCGCCGCAUUAGCUAGUUGGUAAGGUAACGGCUUACCAAGGCAACGAUGCGUAGCCGACCUGAGAGGGUGAUCGGCCACACUGGAACUGAGACACGGUCCAGACUCCUACGGGAGGCAGCAGUAGGGAAUCUUCCGCAAAGGGCGAAAGCCUGACGGAGCAACGCCGCGUGAGUGAUGAAGGUCUUCGGAUCGUAAAACUCUGUUAUUAGGGAAGAACAAAUGUGUAAGUAACUAUGCACGUCUUGACGGUACCUAAUCAGAAAGCCACGGCUAACUACGUG